UGCAAAUACUCGACGGUAAUUUGCCGCUUUACUACUAUCAUCUCUCGAUCUUUCUGAACUUGAUCAUCACCUUGGAUCGUACCUUACUACUUGGAUAAGUGUGGCAAUUCUAGAGCUAAUACAUGCAGCAGAGCUCCGAUCCUCUGGGGAGGAGCGCUUUUAUUAGACCAAAAGCAAUCGGAACUCGUGUCCGUAUUAUGUGGUGACUUUGUAUAACCUUGGGCUGAUCGCAUGGGCUCGUCCCGGCGACGUACCUUUCAAGUGUAUGCCUUGUCAAACGUCGAUGGUAAGUUACAUGUCUACCACCCGUUACGGGUGACGGGGAAUAAGGUUCGAUUCCGGAGAGGAAGUCUGAGAAAGGGCUACCAUUUCCAAGGAAGGCAGCA
Molecule: ribosomal RNA, 386 nt
Filed under: Stegodyphus mimosarum
Lineage: Eukaryota; Metazoa; Arthropoda; Arachnida; Araneae; Eresidae
Description: eukaryotic small subunit ribosomal RNA
Rfam family: Eukaryotic small subunit ribosomal RNA
Source: RNAcentral